Molecule: ribosomal RNA, 728 nt
Filed under: uncultured bacterium
Lineage: Bacteria
Description: bacterial SSU rRNA
Rfam family: Bacterial small subunit ribosomal RNA
Source: RNAcentral
AGUCGAACGGGAGAAUUGCUAGCUUGCUAAUAAUUCUCUAGUGGCGCACGGGUGAGUAACACGUGAGUAACCUGCCCCCAAGAGUGGGAUAGCCCCGGGAAACUGGGAUUAAUACCGCAUAAAAUCGCAAGAUUAAAGCAGCAAUGCGCUUGGGGAUGGGCUCGCGUCCUAUUAGUUAGUUGGUGAGGUAACGGCUCACCAAGGCGAUGACGGGUAGCCGGUCUGAGAGGAUGUCCGGCCACACUGGAACUGAGACACGGUCCAGACACCUACGGGUGGCAGCAGUCGAGAAUCAUUCACAAUGGGGGAAACCCUGAUGGUGCGACGCCGCGUGGGGGAAUGAAGGUCUUCGGAUUGUAAACCCCUGUCAUGUGGGAGCAAAUUAAAAAGAUAGUACCACAAGAGGAAGAGACGGCUAACUCUGUGCCAGCAGCCGCGGUAAUACAGAGGUCUCAAGCGUUGUUCGGAAUCACUGGGCGUAAAGCGUGCGUAGGCGGUUUCGUAAGUCGUGUGUGAAAGGCGGGGGCUCAACCCCCGGACUGCACAUGAUACUGCGAGACUAGAGUAAUGGAGGGGGAACCGGAAUUCUCGGUGUAGCAGUGAAAUGCGUAGAUAUCGAGAGGAACACUCGUGGCGAAGGCGGGUUCCUGGACAUUAACUGACGCUGAGGCACGAAGGCCAGGGGAGCGAAAGGGAUUAGAUACCCCUGUAGUCCUGGCAGUAAACGG